This 116-nucleotide ribosomal RNA is filed under the name Candidatus Liptonbacteria bacterium. The record is from RNAcentral. Lineage: Bacteria; Candidatus Liptoniibacteriota.
GCCAGUGAUUUAGUUGCGUGUGUCCCACCUCUUCCCAUUCCGAACAGAGAAGUGAAAUCACGCAGUCCCGAUGAUACUUUUUAUUUUUUUAAAGGGGAAAGUAGGGUUUGCUGGCU